AUCUACGGCCAUACCGUCCUGAUCCUGGAAGCUAAGCAGGGUUGGGCCUGGCCAAGACUUGGAUGGUAGACCGCCUGGGAAUACUGGAAGCAGUGAGCU
Cercocebus atys (sooty mangabey) is the source of this 99-nucleotide ribosomal RNA. Lineage: Eukaryota; Metazoa; Chordata; Mammalia; Primates; Cercopithecidae. The record is from Ensembl.